UACGGAGGGUGCAAGCGUUAUCCGGAUUCACUGGGUUUAAAGGGUGCGUAGGUGGGAUGGUAAGUCAGUGGUGAAAUCUCCAAGCUUAACUUGGAAACUGCCGUUGAUACUAUCAUUCUUGAAUCUCGUGGAGGUAAGCGGAAUAUGUCAUGUAGCGGUGAAAUGCUUAGAUAUGACAUAGAACACCCAUUGCGAAGGCAGCUUACUACACGAUCAUUGACGCUGAGGCACGAAAGCGUGGGGAGCAAACAGG
This 253-nucleotide ribosomal RNA is filed under the name uncultured bacterium. RNAcentral's name for it is "partial 16S ribosomal RNA". It matches the Rfam family "Bacterial small subunit ribosomal RNA", at positions 524 to 776 of the family's 1533-position model. The record is from RNAcentral.